This 406-nucleotide ribosomal RNA is filed under the name uncultured bacterium. RNAcentral's name for it is "partial 16S ribosomal RNA". It matches the Rfam family "Bacterial small subunit ribosomal RNA", at positions 30 to 526 of the family's 1533-position model. The record is from RNAcentral.
AUUGAACGCUGGCGGCAAGCCUAACACAUGCAAGUCGAACGAGUGGCGGACGGGAGAGUAAUGUCUGGGAAACUGCCUGAUGGAGGGGGAUCACUACUGGAAACGGUAGCCAAUACCGCCUACCAUCGGAUGUGCCCAUAUGGGAUUAGCUAGUAGGUGGGGUAAAGGCGCACCUAGGCGACGAUCCCUAGCUGGUCUGAGAGGAUGACCAGCCACACUGGAACUGAGACACGGACCAGACGCCUAGGGGAGGAAGCAGUGGGGAAUAUUGCACAAUGGGCGCAAGCCUGAUGCAGCCAUGCCGCGUGUAUGAAGAAGGCCUUCGGGUUGUAAAGUACUUUCAGCGGGGAGGCGUUACCCGCAGAAGAAGCACCGGCUAACUCCGUGCCAGCAGCCGCGGUAAUUC